GCCUACGGGGGGCAGCAGUGGGGAAUAUUGGGCAAUGGGCGAAAGCCUGACCCAGCAAUGCCGCGUGAAUGAAGAAGGUCUUAGGAUUGUAAAAUUCUGUCCUAUGGGAAGAAACAAAUGACGGUACCAUAGGAGGAAGCCCCGGCUAACUACGUGCCAGCAGCCGCGGUAAUAUGUAGGGGGCGAGCGUUAUCCGGAAUGAUUGGGCGUAAAGGGCGCGUAGGCGGCCUGCUAAGUCUGGAGUGAAAGGUACCGGCUCAACCGGUACAGGCUCUGGAAACUGGCGGGCUAGAGAGCAGGGGAGG
This 305-nucleotide ribosomal RNA is filed under the name uncultured bacterium. RNAcentral describes it as "bacterial SSU rRNA". It matches the Rfam family "Bacterial small subunit ribosomal RNA", at positions 337 to 657 of the family's 1533-position model. The record is from RNAcentral.